ACCAGCCGAUUCGACACAAAAUACCGGAAAGACCCGGAAUCCCUCAGAGCCCCGAGAGGGCUUGCUCCACCGUGGGCGCACGGAGGGCUGCGAGGUCCCAGGUAGACCCCCCCCCAGCGAACAGAUUUGCACGAUUAUGCGUCAGUGGGCCUUCAAGGACGCAGCUCCAUCCAACACAUGCUGACCGAAACUCACGAGGACCUUCAGAGCACAGGCUUGUACAGGGGCACUGACGCCCUGGCUGACCGACGGGAGUACACACUUCUGUUUGGGUUCUUUCGCCCCCUGGUUCUUAAAGGCUCAUUAGACAUCACAUCAGAUAAGGACUUAGACUCAAUGUUGCUCAGCUCAGAUGAUCCUCCGAUAAGGAAACAGAUCAAGAGAGGUUAAUGAUUUGCCCACCUUCACCCAUCCAUGCCCUCCAAUGUCAAGACAAAAGUUGGGGAAAGGAAGGGGAAGAAUGACGGGCUUUUUGGAGAAGAUCAGUGCUGACUAGCCUUUGAAGGGCGAACAAGAUUUGAAUCAGCAGAGAUGAGGAAAGGCUGGGAAAAGAUAAUGUGCCGGAGAGUGGAGAUGAGCGUCCAGGUGCCUGGGAUUCCCUCUGCCUGGCCUUGCUUCAGCUGACCUCCCUCUUGUAGUUAGGCCCCCGCUGAUGGACCCUCCGGAAAUGGCUUCUUCCCUCCUUCCUGCCCCAAAGGCGGGUUGGCUGCAAAAGCUGGAUUCCCUUUCUAGAGAGGGAAUAGAAACAUAAAGAAUGUAUUAGUUAUAGAAAUAGCAUUGCACACACCCACCCGAAUGCCUAAAAUGGAAAUGAUGGAAAGUGCAAAGUGAUGCUCUGGGACUCUCCCACACAGAUGAGAGGAAUGUGGAUUUUACAGCCACUUUGGAGAACUCUUUGACAGUAGCUACUGAAGCCAACCAUAUACACCUUAUGGGUGACCAGCAAUUCCACCCCAGGAGUAUACAAGAGUAGACAAGCUCAACAGAGUGAAGUCACCUUUCCCAGAACUGUGAAAUUUCAUAUUACUUCUCUUCCUUUUCCGGUUUGUGGUUCUGGAGAAGUACACACAAUUUACCAUAAGCAGAGCAGGUCAGUAAUGUCUCAUCUAUGUUCGUGUGAGGAUAGUCUCAUCACUAGUCUCCAAAUCUAUCCUUUCCCUGCUCCAGUUCAUCCUCCCCACUGCUGCCUCAUCUCACGUGAGUAUAGGCACUCCAGCUUUUUUAUGAUUAGUGCCAAUGACCAAUGCAGAGCUGAAUCCUCCUACCAUAAGCCAAGUGAGUGAGCCGCCUAGGAAACAAGUCCCUAGCCCCACUCUGGCCUUCAGAUGACUGCAGCACCAGCCAACAUCUUGACUCCAACCUUCUGGAAGGUCCUAAUCCAGAACCACCCAGCUAAAACUGCUCCCAAAUUUUUGACCUACAAAAACUGUGAGUGUUAGUAUCGGCACUGAAAAAACACUCACUGAUCAGUUUCACUGUGAUGGAUGGCACAUUCAUUCACCAAAUACUUAUUGAGAAGCUUUUCGGAGCCAAAUCAGAAGAUAGACACUAGAGGGUACAAAGACAAAACAGUCACUGCCCCUGGCCUCAAGAGUGGUUUGGAGUACAAGGUGGUUGAGAUUGCCUUGUGAAAACGGAAGUGAGAAACUCAACUGGAUCUUGUUCCUGCUUGAUUAUACUGAGGUUAAAGAUUUUUGGAAACAAUACUUCUCAAAUGAUGCUGGUGCUUCAUACUGUAUCACAUCAGGAGACACAUAAUUUCAGGAGGAACCAGAUCAUUGCAGCUCUAUUUACAAUAGCCAGGACAUGGAAGCAACCUAAGUGUCCAUCGACAGAUGAAUGGAAAAAGAUGUGGCACAUACAUACAAUGGACUAUUACUCAGACA
This is a long non-coding RNA of Physeter macrocephalus (sperm whale), 1886 nucleotides long. RefSeq lists it as uncharacterized. The transcript has 7 exons. Lineage: Eukaryota; Metazoa; Chordata; Mammalia; Artiodactyla; Physeteridae. The record is from RefSeq and is a predicted model, not a curated record.